RNAcentral lists this small RNA (770 nucleotides) under uncultured Actinomycetales bacterium. Its description in RNAcentral is "bacterial SSU rRNA". The stretch from base 1 to 472 matches the Rfam family "Bacterial small subunit ribosomal RNA", at positions 1064 to 1533 of the family's 1533-position model. Lineage: Bacteria; Bacillati; Actinomycetota; Actinomycetes; Actinomycetales. The record is from RNAcentral.
GCCGUGAGGUGUUGCCUUAAGUGGCGCAACGAGCGCAACCCCUGUCCUUAGUUGCCAGCGGAUCAUGCCGGGAACUCUAGGGAGACUGCCGGUGCCAAACCGGAGGAAGGUGGGGAUGACGUCAAGUCAGCAUGCCCCUUAUAUCCAGGGCUGCACGCAUGCUACAAUGCGCGAUACAAAGGGCUGCGAUCCCGUAAGGGGGAGCGAAUCCCAAAAAGUCGCGCUCAGUUCGGAUCGAGGUCUGCAACUCGACCUCGUGAAGUCGGAGUCGCUAGUAAUCGCAGAUCAGCAAUGCUGCGGUGAAUACGUUCCCGGGCCUUGUACACACCGCCCGUCACACCACGAAAGUGGGCAACACCCGAAGCCGGUGGCCUAACCCUUGUGGAGGGAGCCGUCGAAGGUGGGGCUCGCGAUUGGGGUGAAGUCGUAACAAGGUAGCCGUACCGGAAGGUGCGGCUGGAUCACCUCCUUUCUAAGGAGCCGUUGGCAACCCCCGUGAGCAUGGACAUCAGUUCCGUGUUCUGUAGUUGGGGAGACUCCAGGUCGAUGGCACUGGCUCCCGCCGGCAGUUAACUGCCGGCGGGCACACUGUUCAGCUUUGAGGGUGCGAAUCCUCGAGCACCUUGAGAACUCGAUAGCGAGCGCGAGCAUCUAUUAGUCAAGUUAUGAAGGGCUUACGGUGGAUGCCUUGGCGCCAGGAGCCGAUGAAGGACGCGUCAGGCUGCGAAAAGCUUCGGGGAGCCGCCUAGAGGGCUUUGAUCCGGAGGUGU